CCUACGGGUGGCAGCAGUGGGGAAUAUUGGGCAAUGGAGGCAACUCUGACCCAGCAACGCCGCGUGAAUGAUGAAGGUCUUCGGAUUGUAAAGUUCUGUGAUGGGGGGUGAACACAAUGACGGUACCCCAAUAGCAAGCCACGGCUAACUACGUGCCAGCAGCCGCGGUAAUACGUAGGUGGCAAGCGUUAUCCUGAAUGACUGGGCGUAAAGGGUGCGUAGGUGGUUUAGUAAGUUGGCGGUGUAAUUCCGGGGCUCAACCUCGGCGCUACCGCCAAAACUAUUAGACUAGAGUGCAGGAGGGGUAAGUGGAAUUCCUAGUGUAGCGGUGGAAUGCGUAGAUAUUAGGAGGAACUCCGAUUGCGAAGGCAGCUCACUGGACUGCAACUGACACUGAUGUUCGAAAGUGUGGGUAUCAAACAGGAUUAGAUACCCUUGUAGUC
RNAcentral lists this ribosomal RNA (443 nucleotides) under uncultured bacterium. RNAcentral's name for it is "partial 16S ribosomal RNA". It matches the Rfam family "Bacterial small subunit ribosomal RNA", at positions 338 to 795 of the family's 1533-position model. The record is from RNAcentral.